This 233-nucleotide ribosomal RNA is filed under the name uncultured bacterium. Its description in RNAcentral is "partial 16S ribosomal RNA". It matches the Rfam family "Bacterial small subunit ribosomal RNA", at positions 103 to 334 of the family's 1533-position model. The record is from RNAcentral.
CGGGUGAGUAACGCGUGAGGAACCUGCCUCAAAGAGGGGGACAACAGUUGGGAACGACUGCUAAUACCGCAUAAGCCCACAGCUCGGCAUCGAGCAGAGGGAAAAGGAGCAAUCCGCUUUGAGAUGGCCUCGCGUCCGAUUAGCUAGUUGGUGAGGUAACGGCCCACCAAGGCGACGAUCGGUAGCCGGACUGAGAGGUUGAACGGCCACAUUGGGACUGAGACACGGCCCAG